RNAcentral lists this ribosomal RNA (265 nucleotides) under uncultured bacterium. Its description in RNAcentral is "partial 16S ribosomal RNA". It matches the Rfam family "Bacterial small subunit ribosomal RNA", at positions 793 to 1055 of the family's 1533-position model. The record is from RNAcentral.
GUCCACGCCGUAAACGAUGGAUGCUAGUCGUCGCGGGUAUUGACCCCUGCGGCAACGCAGUUAACGCAUUAAGCAUCCCGCCUGGGGAGUACGGCCGCAAGGCUAAAACUCAAAGGAAUUGACGGGGGCCCGCACAAGCGGUGGAGCAUGUGGUUCAAUUCGACGCAACGCGCAGAACCUUACCUGGGUUAAAUCCACCGGAACCCCGCAGAGAUGUGGGGGUGCCCGCAAGGGAGCCGGUGAGAAGGUGCUGCAUGGCUGUCGU